Molecule: ribosomal RNA, 447 nt
Filed under: uncultured bacterium
Lineage: Bacteria
Description: bacterial SSU rRNA
Rfam family: Bacterial small subunit ribosomal RNA
Source: RNAcentral
UGGGGAAUCUUGGACAAUGGGCGCAAGCCUGAUCCAGCCAUGCCGCGUGGAUGAUGAAGGCCUUAGGGUUGUAAAAUCCUUUCGUUGGGGACGAUAAUGACGGUACCCAAAGAAGAAGCUCCGGCUAACUUCGUGCCAGCAGCCGCGGUAAUACGAAGGGGGCUAGCGUUGUUCGGAUUUACUGGGCGUAAAGCGCGUGUAGGCGGGUCGUUAAGUUGGGGGUGAAAUCCCGAGGCUCAACCUCGGAACUGCCUUCAAAACUGGCGACCUGGACUCAAGCAGAGGCAAGUGGAAUUGCGAGUGUAGAGGUGAAAUUCGUAGAUAUUCGCAGGAACACCAGUGGCGAAGGCGACUUGCUGGACUUAUGGUGACGCUGAGACGCGAAAGCGUGGGGAGCAAACAGGAUUAGAUACCCAUGUAGUCCCUGAGCGGGCUGGCAAGGCGCAU